ACCAAUGAAGAGAUCUGUUGACUGCUGCUUUCUGCCUACUCUGGAGAAGUUGGAAAAGCUCAAGGCUGUUACAAAGGUGUAAGAACCAGCAGGGUGUGCACAGCAGGGCUCCAGACUUGCUUUGCACAGGGCAGUCCCUCUGGUAGCAAGGCUUUCUGUGUGAAAUGCUCCUCCUAGAGUUACUCCCAUAAAGAGGAAGGAUCUGACCCAUGUAUAUUAGAGUUGGAAGGACCUCUGGAGUCAUCAACUUAACCUCUACAAUGCCAUUAACCUUCCAAAACAUAUUCCUCUGAGGCUAAACUGUGCAGUACUUCGAUUCUCAGAAAUGUCUCUAUUCAGAAACAACACACUGAGAAUGAAUUAAGUCCACCUGCAACAAAUGUCUGUGGCCUUGGUCCUUUGAAAUUCUGCUGCAUCCAGAAGUCAUGAGAAUUUCACUGCUAAACCUGCGAAUAUGAUUUGCACAGUUCCACCAACAGUGCUGGCCUGACUGGGAGCCCUCAUGGGAGCCAUGGAAAAAACAGCCAG
Molecule: long non-coding RNA, 528 nt
Organism: Apus apus (common swift)
Lineage: Eukaryota; Metazoa; Chordata; Aves; Apodiformes; Apodidae
Exons: 5
Source: RefSeq, a predicted model, not a curated record